RNAcentral lists this ribosomal RNA (426 nucleotides) under uncultured prokaryote. RNAcentral's name for it is "bacterial SSU rRNA". It matches the Rfam family "Bacterial small subunit ribosomal RNA", at positions 355 to 774 of the family's 1533-position model. The record is from RNAcentral.
UGGGGAAUAUUGGACAAUGGGCGAAAGCCUGAUCCAGCAAUGCCGCGUGUGUGAUGAAGGCCUGCGGGUUGUAAAGCACUUUCGGUGGGGAAGAAAUACGCAAAGUUAAUACCUUUGCGGGUUGACGUUACCCACAGAAGAAGCACCGGCUAACUCUGUGCCAGCAGCCGCGGUAAUACAGAGGGUGCAAGCGUUAAUCGGAGUUACUGGGCGUAAAGGGCGCGUAGGCGGAUAUCUAAGUCGGUUGUGAAAUACCUGGGCUUAACCUGGGAAUUACAAUCGAUACUGGGUAUCUAGAGUAUGGGAGAGGAAAGUGGAAUUCCCGGUGUAGCGGUAAAAUGCGUAGAUAUCGGGAAGAACACCAGCGCGAAGGCGACUUUCUGGACCAAUACUGACGCUGAGGCGCGAAAGCAUGGGGAGCAAACA